GUUACCCCGUCUUGGUAUUAGUGUUCAUCCCGCUUUUACACAUUACUUAAACUCUUGCUGUGAUGAAGAUUCUUGAACAAUACUUGUCGUUCCCUGGCUGUUUUACUAAUAUUAAUAAUGGUAAUUGUCUUUCUGUGAUAUACUGUAUUGAUCAUUAAUACCGCAAUAUCCUUAUUUAUCUCGGAGUCAGUGUUUUACCAUUACUGUUUCUUUCAGUUAGAUAAUCAGUUGUUUCCCAUUCUCCAGCUAAGUAUCAAUUAUGGAAUAACUAUAUUUAAAUCUACUUCAACGAGAAUUUUUAUUCCUUACCGUUAUUGGCGUUAACUGAGAUGGCCAAGUGACUCAACAGACAUCAAACAACAGAAAAGAAAGUUUCAAAGAAUUUUGCUCAGAUUAUAAAACAUAGGCUUAUGGCUAGAUUUGGUGGGCUCGUAUACACAUACUUUCAGGUCUUUAUCAUCAGGAAAGACUUGUAACAAGAUAUAACACAAAAGUUAUUGGUAAUCACUGAUCACUUAAUUGAUUCUAUGGGAUGUUUUUGAUCAGUGACAUUUAUUAUAAGAUAACAAUCAUUAAUUUGAAAAGAUCCUUAGCUUAUAGAUCUUUUACAAGUGUGUUUGACAGAUGAUCAGGUUUCACUAAUGUUCAUUAAUGUUAUGCUGUUUAUUCUACAUGCAUCUUUUACUUUAGUCAGAGGCUAAAAUUGUAAUAAUUAUGAAUAUUAUCUUAAAACCUAAUUGUUAUUACAUUUAAUGUUCUAACUUAUUUAGUUCUUCCCAGUAUAGAAUUUUGUUUUAGAGCAAUAACUUGUCUUAUUUAGGUAUUGACUACAUGUACAUUUUCAAUAUAAUAAAAGUGAAGUUUUGGGAUUAAGAUUAUUUAAUUCUUAUUUAUUUGGCCAAAUAAUUGUAUAUGUAUUUUUUAUAUACUGCCAGGAAGAAAAAUGUGUAGAAAUCAUUAAAGUUGACAAACACUGUAAACAGUUAGUAUUGUUUAUUCAUGUAAUGUUUAAAAUGUUCAAACAAAAUAAAAAAAUACAUUGUUUAAGA
Molecule: long non-coding RNA, 1049 nt
Organism: Limulus polyphemus (Atlantic horseshoe crab)
Lineage: Eukaryota; Metazoa; Arthropoda; Merostomata; Xiphosura; Limulidae
Exons: 2
Source: RefSeq, a predicted model, not a curated record